Long non-coding RNA from Fundulus heteroclitus (mummichog), 803 nucleotides. RefSeq lists it as uncharacterized. The record is from RefSeq and is a predicted model, not a curated record. NCBI's taxonomy places the organism in Eukaryota, Metazoa, Chordata, Actinopteri, Cyprinodontiformes, Fundulidae. The transcript has 2 exons.
GUAAUCAGGUUUAUGUUCCCUAUGUUAUUUUUUUGCCCUGAUUUUAAUCAGAGUUUUUAAUCUUCUUUUUCAGGAAACCAAUCAGUGCUGUUCACUGUUUCUUUGCUUGUCUUCCUGGUUCCACCUGUUCACACCAUGCUGCAACCUACCUCAAACUUGUCUGCCUGUCCAUCAUCCAGUCCCCUGCAUGCUCAUUUCCUGACAGAAGUAAGAGACAGUACCAUCAAACCAAAGUUCUCCACCAGCUGCCAAACAGUCUCUGUGGUUCAGCUUACAUCCCUCUGGAUCUCUUCUACCAUAUCAGUCCCCGCAGCGGCAGGGCACCACCGUUUUUACAAUCGAUGACCAGAAGUACACACCAGGAAGUCUAGUGAAAUUGCCGCAAGUCGCCCCGAAAUGUUUAGUUUUUACAUGCGUGAUCGCCUGACUGUAAUUCAUGCUGUUCAUGACUUGAAUUAAAACAAAGUUUUAAAAAAUAAAGUGGUUCCUGAACUCAGCAAAAGUCAGUGCAACCUGAAGUCGAUGCCAACAGGAAGUUAUUGAAGUCGUAUUAAAUCCACUGACCUAGGUUUAGCUUUUUCCUCCCUCUGUUAGGGUUAGCUCUCUAUGGAGGAGAUAAACCCCAGGGGUAACAUUCAGACAGUGAACCUGAUAUUCAGCCAGACAUUGUGCUGUCGUCCCACACUCACUCAUGCAGACGCAGAAAGGCUUGUCCACGCUUUUGUCUCCUCCAGGCUGGACAACUGCAAUGCGCUCCUCAUCGGGAUCCCUGGGAAAAGCCUUCAGAAGCUGCAGUCCAUACA